Molecule: long non-coding RNA, 346 nt
Organism: Brassica napus (rape)
Lineage: Eukaryota; Viridiplantae; Streptophyta; Magnoliopsida; Brassicales; Brassicaceae
Exons: 3
Source: RefSeq, a predicted model, not a curated record
GGGUGCCCGUUAAAUUUUUUUUUUUCAGAAUAUGUGAAACGUCGUCGUAUUAUCAUUAUGCUUUCCUUUGAUCUCAGAAAUUAGAAUCUCGCAGCCGUCAAAUUCUUCUCCUCUAAGCUCUGUUUCGAUGAAACUUAGAAACAUGAUAUGAAUCGAACUUGAGAAACAAUAUUUUGGGUCUCUUCGUCUUCUUCACUAAGAGAAGAUUGCAGCCUACUUUGGUUCCAAGGGUACGUUUUUGCUGUGAGACUGUGAGCGUCCUAAAUCCUAAUACUUCAAGAGGUUUGGUAACUUUGAAGUGUACGUUUCUGCUGUGAGGGUUUUUGUUGUGUUUGGUGGGUUAUUG